This is a long non-coding RNA of Lemur catta (Ring-tailed lemur), 799 nucleotides long. RefSeq lists it as uncharacterized. The record is from RefSeq and is a predicted model, not a curated record. The transcript is spliced from 3 exons. NCBI's taxonomy places the organism in Eukaryota, Metazoa, Chordata, Mammalia, Primates, Lemuridae.
CCUGGUUAAGUCUAGUCCUCUCUGACAUCACACACCAUAGAGGAAAGCAGCCCCACACAGUUUUCUUCAAGGAGGGUAGAGAAUGUGUAUAGAUGAUUCAGGAUCAAGGAAUGGAAAUUACAACAGACACACACAUGAGACACUGAAAACAAAAAUCCCUCUGAGUUCAUUGGCUACAGAGACAGCAGAAAAUUCCUGAGUGGAGCUGAGAGCGGAGACUCCUGCGGCUGAUGGCAGGAAGCCACUGGCAGAGCCAUCAGGAAGUGAAGGCAGGCGCAGCGCAAGGCUCUGCUGUGUCUGUUUACCAAGUUCUGCGGGCCUCACCAACCAUCAUGUAGUCUUUUUAUGGAAAAUAGAUAAACAGCAUGCGUCACUGUGGCUAUUUCACUUUAUCAGAGGAGGAGAAGAAAGAGUUCCAUGAACUGCAGAUAGACCCUGACGAGGUUAAAAUGUCAGCAUGAGAAUGUGUUGUCAAGAUACACCGUGAUGGCUGUGCUAGCGCCUAAGUCAGAAGGUGGGAGAAAACUCGAGGGCAAAGAUCACAGUGUCACAAUGUUAAAAAAUUUAGAUUUUAAUUUUAAAAAAAUGGAAAGAGAAAUGAGUUUGGAGUCACUCAGAACUGGAUCAGAAUCCUGGCUGCACCACUUACAAAGACAAUCCUUUAUCUUUGUAUCCUUUGUCUUAAUCCUUGAUGAAUGUCCAUUUUCUCAUCUUUAAAAUGUACCUAAUAACACCCACCACAAAGAACUUCUAGAAAUAUUAAAUAAACUAAUGUAUGCAAAAUGCCUGGCAGGUUAUA